Molecule: non-coding RNA, 136 nt
Organism: Caenorhabditis elegans
Lineage: Eukaryota; Metazoa; Nematoda; Chromadorea; Rhabditida; Rhabditidae
Source: Ensembl
GAAAUGUCAAUAGAUAGAAGUAUUUAUAUGAUGGUUAAGACAUGCACGCCUAUCACUUAUCACUGAACUUUUUUCGGAAAUUUUGAAUGAAACAGCUGAGUGGGAGGAGGAGAGAAAAGAAAUGAGUCACAGAAAC